GGCCGUGUGGCUCAAUGGCAGAGCGUCUGACUACGAUUGCCGUGUUGGGCUGCCAACACGAGUCACAUGAUAUCAGAAGGUCGCAGGUUCGACCCCUGUCUCGGUCA
This is a non-coding RNA of Claviceps capensis, 107 nucleotides long. The record is from the annotation of a GenBank genome assembly. NCBI's taxonomy places the organism in Eukaryota, Fungi, Ascomycota, Sordariomycetes, Hypocreales, Clavicipitaceae.